CCAGCAGAUCUCCUUACCAUACACACCGCCAGCGCAACAAUACAUUACAACCCCUCAGAAAGCCCAUACAACAAGUCAGUAUGUGACAAAAGAUGAUAUGCUUGUCGUAAUCAAUCAAUUUCGAAGAUAGACAACCAGACCAUCAGAAUUGGACUUCACUCCACCAUACCUGACACAUAUACGGAGACAGCCUUACCCAACAGGGUAUAUUGAGCACCCGCCAUAAUUCCCGAAGUACAAUGGAGAGAAAGGGAAUGCGAGAG
RNAcentral lists this long non-coding RNA (263 nucleotides) under Panax ginseng (ginseng). RNAcentral's name for it is "long non-coding RNA (PGIN_LNC007280)". The record is from RNAcentral. Lineage: Eukaryota; Viridiplantae; Streptophyta; Magnoliopsida; Apiales; Araliaceae.